Non-coding RNA from Stygiomarasmius scandens, 75 nucleotides. The record is from the annotation of a GenBank genome assembly. NCBI's taxonomy places the organism in Eukaryota, Fungi, Basidiomycota, Agaricomycetes, Agaricales, Campanellaceae.
GGACCAAUAGCUCAGUGGUUUAGAGCAAGGUCACUAGUUAUGCCUAAGUCCUGGGUUCAAUCCCCAGUUGAUCUG